GACGAACGCUGGCGGCGUGCUUAACACAUGCAAGUCGAGCGGUAAGGCCCUUUGGGGUACACGAGCGGCGAACGGGUGAGUAACACGUGAGUAAUCUGCCUUUGGCUUGGGAAUAACUUCGGGAAAUCGGGGCUAAUGCCUGAUGUUUACUGUCUGCUGCAUGGUGGGUGGUGGAAAGAUUUUUUGGCCAGGGAGUGAGCUCGCGGUCUAUCAGCUUGUUGGUGGGGUAAGUAGGCGUUACCAAGGACGUUUGUACGGGUAGGCCGGCCCUGAGAGGGUGUUCGGCCACACUGGGACUGAGACACGGCCCACGA
Molecule: ribosomal RNA, 314 nt
Filed under: uncultured bacterium
Lineage: Bacteria
Description: bacterial SSU rRNA
Rfam family: Bacterial small subunit ribosomal RNA
Source: RNAcentral